CCUACGGGUGGCAGCAGUGAGGAAUAUUGGUCAAUGGACGAGAGUCUGAACCAGCCAAGUAGCGUGAAGGAUGACUGCCCUAUGGGUUGUAAACUUCUUUUAUCUGGGAAUAAAAUGUUCCACGUGUGGGCUUUUGUAUGUAACAUAUGAAAAAGGAUCGGCUAACUCCGGUCCAGCAGCCGCGGUAAUACGGAGGAUCCGAGCGUUUUCCGGAUUUAUUGGGGUUAAAGGGGGCGUAGGUGGAUUGUUAAGUCAGUUGUGAAAGUUUGCGGCUCAAACGUAAGAUUGCAGUUGAAACUGGCAGUCUUGAGUACGGUAGAGGUGGGCGGAAUGCGUGGUGUAGCGGUGAAAUGCUUAGAUAUCACGAAGAACUCCGAUUGCGAAGGCAGCUCACUGGACUGCAACUGACACUGAGGCUCGAAAGUGUGGGGAUCGAACAGGAUUAGAUACCCGAGUAGUC
RNAcentral lists this ribosomal RNA (460 nucleotides) under uncultured bacterium. RNAcentral describes it as "partial 16S ribosomal RNA". It matches the Rfam family "Bacterial small subunit ribosomal RNA", at positions 338 to 795 of the family's 1533-position model. The record is from RNAcentral.